AAGAAUUCCCAAAGAAACCCCUCUCACUUGCAAGACUCACCAUGAACCAAACCUAACCUGGCCUUGUUUGUGACUUGAUAAAAACUCAUUUUCUGUCAAAACAUAAUAAAAAAAAAACCAAAGGGACUUCAUUCAUUUUGACUGAGCAUUUUCCUCCUCAAAUUGAAGCAACAGCAAACAGCAUGGAGAGGUUUGGUCUGCUGUCAAUUGAAACGCAGUGUGAAGCC
This 227-nucleotide long non-coding RNA is filed under the name Lathyrus oleraceus (garden pea). RNAcentral's name for it is "Pisum sativum (pea) long non-coding RNA (PSAT_LNC020192)". The record is from RNAcentral. Lineage: Eukaryota; Viridiplantae; Streptophyta; Magnoliopsida; Fabales; Fabaceae.